CCUACGGGCGUCAGCAGUGAGGAAUAUUGGUCAAUGGACGAGAGUCUGAACCAGCCAAGUAGCGUGAAGGAUGACUGCCCUAUGGGUUGUAAACUUCUUUUAUAUGGGAAUAAAAUGUUCCACGUGUGGGAUUUUGUAUGUACCAUAUGAAUAAGGAUCGGCUAACUCCGUGCCAGCAGCCGCGGUAAUACGGAGGAUCCGAGCGUUAUCCGGAUUUAUUGGGUUUAAAGGGAGCGUAGGUGGAUUGUUAAGUCAGUUGUGAAAGUUUGCGGCUCAACCGUAAAAUUGCAGUUGAAACUGGCAGUCUUGAGUACAGUAGAGGUGGGCGGAAUUCGUGGUGUAGCGGUGAAAUGCUUAGAUAUCACGAAGAACUCCGAUUGCGAAGGCAGUUCACUGGACUGCAACUGACACUGAGGCUCGAAAGUGUGGGUAUCAAACAGGAUUAGAUACCCUUGUAGUC
This 460-nucleotide ribosomal RNA is filed under the name uncultured bacterium. Its description in RNAcentral is "partial 16S ribosomal RNA". It matches the Rfam family "Bacterial small subunit ribosomal RNA", at positions 338 to 795 of the family's 1533-position model. The record is from RNAcentral.